Molecule: ribosomal RNA, 118 nt
Filed under: Oreochromis niloticus (Nile tilapia)
Lineage: Eukaryota; Metazoa; Chordata; Actinopteri; Cichliformes; Cichlidae
Source: RNAcentral
GGCUACGGCCAUACCACCCUGAACACGCCCGAUCUCGUCUGAUCUCGGAAGCUAAGCAGGGUCGGGCCUGGUCAGUACUUGGAUGGGAGACCGCCUGGAAUACCAGGUGCUGUAAGCU